Molecule: ribosomal RNA, 254 nt
Filed under: uncultured bacterium
Lineage: Bacteria
Description: partial 16S ribosomal RNA
Rfam family: Bacterial small subunit ribosomal RNA
Source: RNAcentral
CACGUAGGGGGCAAGCGUUGUCCGGAUUUAUUGGGCGUAAAGGGCGCGUAGGCGGUCAGCACAAGUCAGUUGUGAAAUCUCCGGGCUUAACUCGGAAAGGUCAACUGAUACUGUGCGACUAGAGUGCGGAAGGGGCAACUGGAAUUCUCGGUGUAGCGGUGAAAUGCGUAGAUAUCGUAAGGAAGACCAGUGGCGAAGGCGGGUCUCUGGACAGUUCCUGACGCUGAGGCACGAAGGCCAGGGGAGCAAACGGG